GGUUCCAGAAACCUGCUGCUCCCAGAUACUUCAGGAAACAGUAAGGCUUUAGAUCAUUUUAUGAGAGUGUGCUUCUACAAUCUCCAGCUCACUAGUAAUAACUGACAAGUGUUUGCAUGUACAUAUAAACAGAAAAAUCUAAAUGCAGUGCUUUCACUUAUAUGUCACAAAAAAUUUGCAGAAAGGAUGUUACCUAAACCAGUAUAAGCUACCCUUAAAAAAAUCAGAAAGCAAUAUUACUUUACUUGAAAAUGCUCACUUUCAAAGGAGCUAUUUUCCACUAAGAUUUUACCUAUGUUAAUGAGUUAUAUUAAGGGGUAAAAACAAGUAGAAUAAGUACUGUGUGUUUCUAAG
This is a long non-coding RNA of Perognathus longimembris pacificus (Pacific pocket mouse), 354 nucleotides long. RefSeq lists it as uncharacterized. Lineage: Eukaryota; Metazoa; Chordata; Mammalia; Rodentia; Heteromyidae. The record is from RefSeq and is a predicted model, not a curated record. The transcript is spliced from 2 exons.